ACGGGAGGCAGCAGUGAGGAAUAUUGGUCAAUGGGCGGAAGCCUGAACCAGCCAAGUCGCGUGAAGGAUGAAGGUAUUAUGUAUUGUAAACUUCUUUAGACGUAGAGAAAUAAGGGGAUCGUGAUCCCUGAUGCUAGUAUACGUAGAAUAAGGAUCGGCUAACUCCGUGCCAGCAGCCGCGGUAAUACGGAGGAUCCGAGCGUUAUCCGGAUUUAUUGGGUUUAAAGGGAGCGUAGGCCGUGCUUUAAGCGUGUUGUGAAAUGUAGGCGCCCAACGUCUGCACUGCAGCGCGAACUGGAGCACUUGAGUACGCAGGAAGUAGGCGGAAUUCGUCGUGUAGCGGUGAAAUGCUUAGAUAUGACGAAGAACUCCGAUUGGGAAGCCAGCUUACUGUAGCGCCACUGACGCUGAUGCUCGAAAGCGUGGGUAUCGAACAGGAUUAGAUACCCUGGUA
RNAcentral lists this ribosomal RNA (454 nucleotides) under uncultured Prevotella sp. RNAcentral's name for it is "bacterial SSU rRNA". It matches the Rfam family "Bacterial small subunit ribosomal RNA", at positions 341 to 792 of the family's 1533-position model. The record is from RNAcentral. Lineage: Bacteria; Pseudomonadati; Bacteroidota; Bacteroidia; Bacteroidales; Prevotellaceae.